AGCAGCCGCGGUAAUUCCAGCUCCAAUAGCGUAUAUUAAAGUUGUUGCAGUUAAAAAGCUCGUAGUUGAAUUUCGGGAUCAAUUUAUUGGUCGUGCUAUUGUACGUACUGGUAUUAUUGAUUCCUACCUUCUGACGAACCAUGAUGUCAUUAAUUUGGUGUCAUGGGGAAUCAGGACUGUUACUUUGAAAAAAUUAGAGUGUUUAAAGCAGGCUCACGCUUGAAUACAUUAGCAUGGAAUAACGAAAUAGGACGUUUGAUUCUAUUUUGUUGGUUUCUAGGAUCGACGUAAUGAUUAAUAGGGAUAGUUGGGGGCAUUAGUAUUCAAUUGUCAGAGGUGAAAUUCUUGGAUUUAUUGAAGACUAACUACUGCGAAAGCAUUUGCCAAGGAUGUUUUCAUUAAUCAAGAACGAAAGUUAGGGGAUCGAAGACGAUCAGAUACCGUCGUAGUCUUAACCAUAAACUAUGCCGACUAGGGAUCGGACGAAGUUAAUUUUAUAAUGACGCGUUCGGCACC
Molecule: ribosomal RNA, 516 nt
Filed under: uncultured Glomus
Lineage: Eukaryota; Fungi; Glomeromycota; Glomeromycetes; Glomerales; Glomeraceae
Description: SSU rRNA
Rfam family: Eukaryotic small subunit ribosomal RNA
Source: RNAcentral